Long non-coding RNA from Lates calcarifer (barramundi perch), 1666 nucleotides. RefSeq lists it as uncharacterized. The record is from RefSeq and is a predicted model, not a curated record. NCBI's taxonomy places the organism in Eukaryota, Metazoa, Chordata, Actinopteri, Centropomidae. The transcript is spliced from 3 exons.
GGCUAAAAAAUGUCAUAGUAUAGUAUGACGUCAAAAAUGGUUAAAAAAUGUAAUAGUAUAGUAUGGUGUCAAAAAUCAUUGAAAAAUGUCAUAGUAUAGUAUGGCGUCAAAAACGCUCAAAAAAUAUCAUCGUAUAGUAUGGUGUCAAAAACGCCCAAAAAAUGUCAUAGUAUAGUAAGGCGUCAAGAAUCAUCAAAAAAUGUCAUAGUAUAGUAAGGCGUCAAAAAUGGCUAAAAAAUGUCAUAGUAUAGUAAGGUGUCAAAAACGCUCAAAAAAUGUCAUAGUAUAGUAUGGUGUCAAAAACGCUCAAAAAAUGUCACAGUAUAGUAUGGUGUCAAAAACGCCCAAAAAAUGUCAUAGUAUAGUAUGGUGUCAAAAACGCCCAAAAAAUGUCAUAGUAUAGUAUGGUGUCAAAAAUCAUCAAAAAAUGUCAUCGUAUAGUAAGGUGUCAAAAAUGGCUAAAAAAUGUCAUAGUAUAGUAUGGCGUCAAAAAUCAUCCAAAAUUGUCAUAGUAUAGUAUGGCGUCAAAAACGCCUAAAAAAUGUCAUAGUAUAGUAUGGUGUCAAAAAAAGUCAAAAAUUGUUAUAGUAUAGUAUGACGUCAAAUAUCAUCAAAAAAAGUCAUAGUAUAGUAUGGUGUCAAAAAAAGUCAAAAAAUGUCAUAGUAUAGUAAGGCGUCAAAAAUCAUCAAAAAAUGUCAUAGUAUAGUAAGGCGUCAAAAAUCAUCAAAAAAUGUCAUAGUAUAGUAUGGUGUCAAAAAUGGCUAAAAAAUGUCAUAGUAUAGUAUGGCGUCAAAAACGCUCAAAAAAUGUCAUAGUAUAGUAUGGUGUCAAAAAAAGUCAAAAAUUGUUAUAGUAUAGUAUGACGUCAAAUAUCAUCAAAAAAAGUCAUAGUAUAGUAUGGUGUCAAAAAAAGUCAAAAAAUGUCAUAGUAUAGUAAGGCGUCAAAAAUCAUCAAAAAAUGUCAUAGUAUAGUAAGGCGUCAAAAAUCAUCAAAAAAUGUCAUAGUAUAGUAAGGCGUCAAAAAUCAUCAAAAAAUGUCAUCGUAUACUAUGGCGUCAAAAAUGGUCAAAAAAUAUCAUAGUAUAGUAAGGUGUCAAAAAUGGCUAAAAAAUGUCAUAGUAUAGUAUGGUGUCAAAAAUGGUCAAAAAAUAUCAUAGUAUAGUAAGGUGUCAAAAACACUCAAAAAAUGUCAUAGUAUAGUAUGGUGUCAAAAAAAGUCAAAAAAUGUCAUAGUAUAGUAUGGCGUCAAAAACGCUCAAAAAAUGUCAUAGUAUAGUAUGGUGUCAAAAACGCCCAAAAAAUGUCAUAGUAUAGUAUGGCGUCAAAAAUCAUCAAAAAAUGUCAUCGUAUAGUAAGGUGUCAAAAAUGGCUAAAAAAUGUCAUAGUAUAGUAUGGUGUCAAAAACGCCCAAAAAAUGUCAUAGUAUAGUAUGGUGUCAAAAAAAGUCAAAAAUUGUUAUAGUAUAGUAUGACGUCAAAUAUCAUCAAAAAAAGUCAUAGUAUAGUAUGGUGUCAAAAAAAGUCAAAAAAUGUCAUAGUAUAGUAAGGCGUCAAAAAUCAUCAAAAAAUGUCAUAGUAUAGUAAGGCGUCAAAAAUGGCUAAAAAAUGUCAUAGUAUAGUAUGGUGUCAAAAACGCUCAAAAAAUGUCAUAGUAUAGUAUGGUGUC